Macaca mulatta (Rhesus monkey) is the source of this 3496-nucleotide non-coding RNA. NCBI's taxonomy places the organism in Eukaryota, Metazoa, Chordata, Mammalia, Primates, Cercopithecidae. The record is from RefSeq and is a predicted model, not a curated record.
UCACCAGACAGAGAGGUAGCUAAGGGGACUAGUUGAGACACUCUUAGAACAACAGCCACUUUUGUGGGAGCCCAAGAACAGCAGCUUUAAAACGGGGUAAAUAUUCAGGCAUCAUUAGGAUCCUGAAUACAAGCGAGCCAGUAAAAUAUGGGAUCUACUCAGAAAGGCACAAUCUAUCAGAUGGUCAAGACAAAUAAACCUGGGGCCAAGGUAGCAGUUUCAGCACAGAGAGGGUCUGAGGUUACUACUAACACAUCCCCUCAGCGGGGACAUGGGUACAUUCUUGCCUCAAGCCAUCGAAGUGCUGCAGUCUCCCUGAACCCUUCCCACCGAAGAUCAGAAGCUGCACAUCCCACCACUCCCCAUUCGGCAUCAGACUAUCCUCAAUCUGUCUCCCUCCAGUCAGGGCCUGGACACUAUGUGGUACCCACUCCUCGGGUAACCGAGACUGGACCAAGAACAGAAUCAUCCCGCCAUUCCUCUCCUCCUAGAAAGAACCAGCAAACUCAGACACUGGCUUCCCAUGCUUCAAGCAGACUACGGAAUGUUAGUCCACCUGGAGAGGAAGCAGCACGAAGAGGCGGUGAGAGCAAGUCAGGGCGCGAGGUCGGCCAUCAUGCCUCAUCAAUCCCAGAUGCCAAAUCUACUCGUCGGUUGAGUUUUCAAGAUCAGAAGGAUAACUUACAAUCACAAAUCUUACAAGAUGACCCACCAUCCAAGGUCCAGAACCCCCAAGGAGUCAGAGUUCCCCGUAGGAUUUUGACUUACCCAAAGGAUGAAGCAGUACAAACUGAGCCCAUCCAAAGGAUUACAACUGCUAGCGAGAUCAGAUCUCCAAGGAGUCCCUCUCGCCCAGAGCACAGAAGCAGCUGUGUCUCUGCAGACUAUCAGACAGCCCAGAGAAAGGUACCUGUAGAAGAAUCAGAAACAGGUCCUUACAGUUCAAUUCCUUCAAAACCCAAGGCCUUGUAUAGGAAUAUGAACUUGGACUCAUCACUCAAACUCUCUGUCCUUAAAGAUUCUGAUGGUGUACACCGAGUUUCUACACGGGUAGACCCUGAGUCUCUUCACAAGUAUUCUGUCUAUCCUGAAACCAAGCCCUCCGCAAAGGUCUUAAUAUCAUCACAGGUGGAGUCCAAUGUGAGGGCCCCAAUCCGAGGAAACAACGAGGUUGGCCGCAGGGUCACCAUCUCCCCAGGGGUACAGUCAGUAGAGCCAACUCACCGUGUGACAGCUCAAUCAGUGUCUGAGGGCUCCCACAAGUCAUCCAUGUUUGUCACUCCAGAGCCCAUCUAUAAACAGCAAACCCCAAAACCCCCAGAAACUACCUACAUGUCCCAAGGACCUACACCCAGGUAUCCAGAACUCUCGCAAAAGCCCUCCAUCCAUGCAGAACUGGAACUGACCCCUCGGCCCUUGCCUCCUCGGUCCUUACCUAGGUACGGACCUGACUCCUCAUGGUGGCCCUUGCUGAAUCCUGAAGUUGAAACACCCCAAAGCCAGCCGACAACACCUGAUUUUGAGCUUAAGUGUUCUCCUUCCCUAGAUCCUUUAUUGUCCGGUUUUAAAAUAGACUCUAGCCCUUUCUGUGAGGAUCUGAAGUUCCAGAGAGAGAAGGCAAGCCUAUCACCACCGUCACCACCAAAGGAGUUUCCAAGUUGGGCACCACUGAAUAAAGUGCCACAGACCCCCAAGCACACCUGCAAACAACCCAUUCAAAGGUUUAGUGCUUUCUUCCUGGAUGUCUCAGAGGAAAUGUACAAUCGUGUCAUCUGGUGGCUGAAAGAUGAGGAGAUCAAGCGUUUCCUGGAGGACACCACGGAUGAUGGAGAACUGAGCAAGUUCGUGAAGGAUUUCUCAGGAAAUGAGAGCUGCCACCCACCAGAGGCUAAGACUUGGGCAUCCAGGCCCCAAGUCCUGGAGCCAAGGCCCCAGGCCCCAGACCUCUAUGAUGAUGACCUGGAGUUCAGACCCCCUUCGUGGCCCCAGUCCGCUGACAACCAGCAGUACUUCUGUGCCCCAGCCCCUCUCAGCCCAUCUGCCAGGCCCCGCAGCCCAUGGGGCAAGCUUGAUCCCUAUGAUUCCUCUGAGGAUGACAAGGAGUAUGUGGGCUUUGCAACCCUCCCCAACCAAGUCCACCGAAAGUCCGUGAAGAAAGGCUUUGACUUUACCCUCAUGGUGGCAGGAGAGUCUGGCCUGGGCAAAUCCACACUUGUCAAUAGCCUCUUCCUCACUGAUCUGUACCGGGACCGGAAACUCCUUGGUGCUGAAGAGCGGAUCAUGCAAACCGUGGAGAUCACUAAGCAUGCAGUGGACAUAGAAGAGAAGGGUGUGAGGCUGCGGCUCACCAUUGUGGACACACCAGGUUUUGGGGAUGCAGUCAACAACACAGAGUGCUGGAAGCCUGUGGCAGAAUACAUUGAUCAGCAGUUUGAGCAGUAUUUCCGAGAUGAGAGUGGCCUGAACCGAAAGAACAUCCAAGACAACAGGGUGCACUGCUGCCUGUACUUCAUCUCACCCUUCGGCCACGGGCUCCGGCCAUUGGAUGUUGAAUUCAUGAAGGCCCUGCAUCAGCGGGUCAACAUCGUGCCUAUCCUGGCUAAGGCAGACACACUGACACCUCCAGAAGUGGACCGAAAGAAACGCAAAAUCCGGGAGGAGAUUGAGCAUUUUGGAAUCAAGAUCUAUCAGUUCCCAGACUGUGACUCUGACGAGGAUGAGGACUUCAAAUUGCAGGACCAAGCCCUAAAGGAAAGCAUCCCAUUUGCAGUAAUUGGCAGCAACACUGUAGUAGAGGCCAGAGGGCGGCGAGUUCGGGGUCGACUCUACCCCUGGGGCAUCGUGGAAGUGGAAAACCCAGGGCACUGCGACUUUGUGAAGCUGAGGACAAUGCUGGUACGUACCCACAUGCAGGACCUGAAGGAUGUGACGCGGGAGACACAUUAUGAGAACUACCGGGCACAGUGCAUCCAGAGCAUGACCCGCCUGGUGGUAAAGGAACGCAAUCGCAAGUAUGACCAGAAGCCAGGACAAAGCUGGCAGGGGGAGAUCCCAAGCCUAGCCUUGGGUGAGACCAAGCCCUACUUUUGUUCUUCUAUAGGCCCUGGGCUUAAUCUAAGUGGGUGCUGGAGUCCUCCUAGCCUUAUCAACCCUUUUCUCCCCUUAGCAAACUGACUCGAGAGAGUGGUACCGACUUCCCCAUCCCUGCUGUCCCACCAGGGACAGAUCCAGAAACUGAGAAGCUUAUCCGAGAGAAAGAUGAGGAGCUGCGGCGGAUGCAGGAGAUGCUACACAAAAUACAAAAACAGAUGAAGGAGACCUAUUAACUGGCUUUCAGCCCUGGAUAUUUAAAUCUCCUCCUGUUCUUCCUGUCCAUGCCAGCCCCUCCCAGCACCAGCUCUGCUCAGGCCCCUUCAGCUACUGCCACUUCGCCUUACAUCCCUGCUGACUGCCCAGAGACUCAGAGGAAAUAAAGUUUAAUAAAUCUGUAGGUGGC